This 240-nucleotide unclassified non-coding RNA is filed under the name soil metagenome. RNAcentral's name for it is "partial contains 5.8S ribosomal RNA, internal transcribed spacer 2, and large subunit ribosomal RNA". The record is from RNAcentral.
AACGCACGAGACCUGCGGACCUGCGGAAGGAUCAUUAUUGAAUAAAAACUUUGGUUGGGCUGUUGCUGGUUUUCCUGACAAAAGGGGAAAUGUUGUGCACGCUCAAUUACAAAUUUUAUUUCCACCUGUGCACUUUAUGUAGACUUUCAUUAGAACUAUACACUCAUAAUCUUUUUGAGUUAUUAAACUUGAAGAGUUGGAAAUGUUACCAGUAAUUUUUCCUGUGAUUGUUGUUCAUUG